GCUAAGAAUCUUCCGCAAUGGGCGAAAGCCUGACGGAGCGACGCCGCGUGAACGAAGAAGGCCGUGAGGUUGUAAAGUUCUUUUCGGGAGGGGGAACAACCGUGGCAGGGAAUGGCCGCGGGAUGACGUGAAUCCCGGAAUAAGCCCCGGCUAACUACGUGCCAGCAGCCGCGGUAACACGUAGGGGGCGAGCGUUGUUCGGAAUCAUUGGGCGUAAAGGGCGUGCAGGCGGUUCUGCAAGUCCGGCGUGAAAGACCCCGGCCCAACCGGGGGGACGCGCUGGAAACUGCAGGGCUUGAGUACAGGAGGGGAUGCCGGAAUUCCAGGUGUAGGGGUGAAAUCUGUAGAUAUCUGGAAGAACACCAAUGGCGAAGGCAGGCAUCUGGCCAUGUACUGACGCUGAGACGCGAAGGUGCGGGGAGCAAACAGGUUUAGAAACCCUAGUAGUCC
Molecule: ribosomal RNA, 450 nt
Filed under: uncultured bacterium
Lineage: Bacteria
Description: partial 16S ribosomal RNA
Rfam family: Bacterial small subunit ribosomal RNA
Source: RNAcentral